RNAcentral lists this ribosomal RNA (507 nucleotides) under uncultured bacterium. Its description in RNAcentral is "partial 16S ribosomal RNA". It matches the Rfam family "Bacterial small subunit ribosomal RNA", at positions 28 to 507 of the family's 1533-position model. The record is from RNAcentral.
GACGAACGCUGGCGGCGUGCUUAACACAUGCAAGUCGAACGGGCCUUGUCCCCUUUUUUUUGGGGGUGGGGUUAGUGGCGAACGGGUGAGUAACACGUGAGUAACCUGCCCCUCACUUCUGGAUAACCGCUCGAAAGGGUGGCUAAUACGGGGUGUUCUGGCCUGCUCGCAUGGGUGGGUUUGGAAAGAUUCGACCGGUUUUGGUUGUUUUGGUGGGGGAUGGGCUCGCGGCCUAUCAGCUUGUUGGUGGGGUGAUGGCCUGCCAAGGCUUUGACGGGUAGCCGGCCUGAGAGGGUGGGCGGUCACACUGGGACUGAGACACGGCCCAGACUCCUACGGGAGGCAGCAGUGGGGAAUAUUGCACAAUGGGCGCAAGCCUGAUGCAGCGACGCCGCGUGAGGGAUGGAGGCCUUCGGGUUGUGAACCUCUUUCGCCAGUGAAGAAGGUCCUGCUCUUUGUGGUGGGGUUGACGGUAGCUGGGUUAAUGAAGCGCCGGCUAACUACGUG